AGUCGGACGGCAGCAUAGAAGAGCUUGCUCUUUUGAUGGCGAGUGGCGAACGGGUGAGUAAUGCAUCGGAACGUACCGAGUAGUGGGGGAUAACUGUCCGAAAGGAUGGCUAAUACCGCAUAUUCUCUGAGGAGGAAAGCAGGGGACCUUAGGGCCUUGCGCUAUUUGAGCGGCCGAUGUCUGAUUAGCUAGUUGGUGGGGUAAGAGCCCACCAAGGCGACGAUCAGUAGCGGGUCUGAGAGGAUGAUCCGCCACACUGGGACUGAGACACGGCCCAGACUCCUACGGGAGGCAGCAGUGGGGAAUUUUGGACAAUGGGCGCAAGCCUGAUCCAGCCAUGCCGCGUGUAUGAAGAAGGCCUUCGGGUUGUAAAGUACUUUUGUCAGGGAAGAAAAGCCUGGGGAUAACACCCUCAGGUCAUGACGGUACCUGAAGAAUAAGCACCGGCUAACUACGUGCCAGCAGCCGCGGUAAUACGUAGGGUGCGAGCGUUAAUCGGAAUUACUGGGCGUAAAGCGAGCGCAGACGGUUAUUUAAGCAAGAUGUGAAAGCCCCGGGCUCAACCUGGGAACUGCGUUUUGAACUGGGUAACUAGAGUGUGUCAGAGGGGGGUAGAAUUCCACGUGUAGCAAUGAAAUGCGUAGAGAUGUGGAGGAAUACCGAUGGCGAAAGCCGCCCCCUGGGAUAACACUGACGUUCAUGCUCGAAAGCGUGGGUAGCAAACAGGAUUAGAUACCCUGGUAGUCCACGCCCUAAACGAUGUCAAUUAGCUGUUGGGGUACAUGAUGCCUUAGUAGCGUAGCUUACGCGUGAAAUUGACCGCCUGGGGAGUACGGUCGCAAGAUUAAAACUCAAAGGAAUUGACGGGGACCCGCACAAGCGGUGGAUGAUGUGGAUUAAUUCGAUGCAACGC
Molecule: ribosomal RNA, 913 nt
Filed under: Neisseria sp.
Lineage: Bacteria; Pseudomonadati; Pseudomonadota; Betaproteobacteria; Neisseriales; Neisseriaceae
Description: bacterial SSU rRNA
Rfam family: Bacterial small subunit ribosomal RNA
Source: RNAcentral